CCCACCCCAGAAAUAUUGCAGGUGUGGCUGCUGUGUCACAUGUGCUUCAGUAGGUGGCAGAGGAGAGAUUGGCUAUGUCUAUGCUCAGUGUUCUGACCUGUGAACAUCAGUUCAUCUGACCUAUGAACAUG
Small nucleolar RNA from Rattus norvegicus (Norway rat), 131 nucleotides. Ensembl annotates it as small nucleolar RNA SNORA17. The record is from Ensembl. NCBI's taxonomy places the organism in Eukaryota, Metazoa, Chordata, Mammalia, Rodentia, Muridae.